AGAGUUUGAUCCUGGCUCAGAAUAAAUGCUAUCGGUAUGCUUAACACAUGCAAGUUAAAUGUAUUUAAAACAUAGCGGACGGGUGAGUAACACGUGAAUUAUCUACCUUUUAAUUCAGAAUAAUUAUUUUUAUAAAAAUACUGAAUAAAUAAAUUAAAGUUUUUAACGUUAAAAGAUGAGUUUGCGUAAGAUUAUGGUAGUUGGUAGUUUAAAAGACCUACCAAGCCUUUUAUCUUUAGCUGGUUUGAAAGAACGAUCAGCCACAUUGGAACUGAGACACGGCCCAAACUUUUUUAAAGGCAGCAGUGGGGAAUUUUGGACAAUGAGCGAAAGCUUGAUCCAGUAAUACCGAGUGAGUGAAGAAGGCUAAUUAGGUUGUAAAGCUCUUUCAUUAAGGAGGAAAAUGACAGUACUUAAAAAAGAAGUUCCGGCUAAUACCCGUGCCAGCAGCCGCGGUAAUACGGGAGGAGCGAGCAUUAUUCGGAAUGAUUAGGCGUAAAGAGUUUGUAGGUGGUUUUUUAAGUUGAAAGAAACAAAUUAAAGCUCAACUUUAUACAUUUUUUCAAAACUGAUAAACUAGAGUAUAAAUAGAGGAUAAUGGAAUUUCUAUUGGAGUGAUAAAAUACGUUGAUAAUAGAAGGAAGGCCUAUGGCGAAGGCAAUUAUCUGGGUAUAUACUGACACUGAGAAACGAAAGCUUGGGUAGCGAACGGGAUUAGAUACCCCGGUAGUCCAUGCCGUAAACGAUGAGUGCUAAUAUUUAGAAUUUUUAGAUAUAACAGCUAACGCGUUAAGCACUCCGCCUGAAAAGUAUAAUCGCAAGAUUGAAAUUCAAAGGAAUUGACGGGAGUCUACACAAGCGGUGGAGCAUGUGGUUUAAUUCGAUAAUACGCGCAAAACCUUACCAACUCUUGCUAAUUUUUAUAUAAAAUUUUAUAUAAAAAACAGGUGUUGCAUGGCUGUCGUCAGCUCGUGUUGUGAAAUGUUUGGUUAAAUCCUUUAACGAGCGCAACCCCUAUUGUUAGUU
Molecule: ribosomal RNA, 1026 nt
Filed under: Sclerospora graminicola
Lineage: Eukaryota; Oomycota; Peronosporomycetes; Peronosporales; Peronosporaceae
Description: bacterial SSU rRNA
Rfam family: Bacterial small subunit ribosomal RNA
Source: RNAcentral